This 253-nucleotide ribosomal RNA is filed under the name uncultured bacterium. Its description in RNAcentral is "partial 16S ribosomal RNA". It matches the Rfam family "Bacterial small subunit ribosomal RNA", at positions 524 to 776 of the family's 1533-position model. The record is from RNAcentral.
UACGUAGGGGGCAAGCGUUAUCCGGAUUCACUGGGUGUAAAGGGAGCGUAGACGGCGACGCAAGUCUGGAGUGAAAGCCCGGGGCCCAACCCCGGGACUGCUCUGGAAACUGCGGCGCUGGAGUACGGGAGGGGCAGGCGGAAUUCCUGGUGUAGCGGUGAAAUGCGUAGAUAUCAGGAGGAACACCGGCGGCGAAGGCGGCCUGCUGGACCGUGACUGACGUUGAGGCUCGAGAGCGUGGGGAACAAACAGG